This 497-nucleotide ribosomal RNA is filed under the name uncultured bacterium. RNAcentral describes it as "partial 16S ribosomal RNA". It matches the Rfam family "Bacterial small subunit ribosomal RNA", at positions 28 to 507 of the family's 1533-position model. The record is from RNAcentral.
GAUGAACGCUGGCGGCGUGCCUAAUACAUGCAAGUCGAGCGAACAGACGAGGAGCUUGCUCCUCUGACGUUAGCGGCGGACGGGUGAGUAACACGUGGAUAACCUACCUAUAAGACUGGGAUAACUUCGGGAAACCGGAGCUAAUACCGGAUAACAUGUUGAACCGCAUGGUUCAACAGUGAAAGACGGUCUUGCUGUCACUUAUAGAUGGAUCCGCGCCGCAUUAGCUAGUUGGUAAGGUAACGGCUUACCAAGGCAACGAUGCGUAGCCGACCUGAGAGGGUGAUCGGCCACACUGGAACUGAGACACGGUCCAGACUCCUACGGGAGGCAGCAGUAGGGAAUCUUCCGCAAUGGGCGAAAUCCUGACGGAGCAACGCCGCGUGAGUGAAGAAGGUCUUCGGAUCGUAAAACUCUGCUAUUAGGGAAGAACAAAUGUGUAAGUAACUAUGCACGUCUUGACGGUACCUAAUCAGAAAGCCACGGCUAACUACGUG